GAGGAUAUAGCUCAAGUGGUAGAGCAUGUGCUUAGCAUGCACAAGGUCCUGGGUUCAAUCCCCAGUACCUCCU
This 73-nucleotide transfer RNA is filed under the name Camelus bactrianus (Bactrian camel). It matches the Rfam family "tRNA". From Rfam's summary of the family: Transfer RNA (tRNA) molecules are approximately 80 nucleotides in length. Their secondary structure includes four short double-helical elements and three loops (D, anti-codon, and T loops). The record is from Rfam by way of RNAcentral. RNAcentral also lists the same sequence under 2 other names. Lineage: Eukaryota; Metazoa; Chordata; Mammalia; Artiodactyla; Camelidae.